This 92-nucleotide transfer RNA is filed under the name Actinoplanes auranticolor. RNAcentral's name for it is "tRNA-Asp". Lineage: Bacteria; Bacillati; Actinomycetota; Actinomycetes; Micromonosporales; Micromonosporaceae. The record is from RNAcentral.
UCCCGGGGUUGUCCACAGGGACGGCCCCGGGAUUCGUCGUGUCCCGCCUAUCGUCCUGAUCCCCGGCGCCGGUCCCGACGGCGCCCCGGGAG